This 198-nucleotide ribosomal RNA is filed under the name uncultured bacterium. RNAcentral's name for it is "partial 16S ribosomal RNA". It matches the Rfam family "Bacterial small subunit ribosomal RNA", at positions 328 to 539 of the family's 1533-position model. The record is from RNAcentral.
ACGCUCGACACCUACGGGAGACAGCAGUGGGGAAUAUUGCACAAUGGGGGAAACCCUGAUGCAGCGACGCCGCGUGAGCGAAGAAGUAUCUCGGUAUGUAAAGCUCUAUCAGCAGGGAAGAAGAUGACGGUACCUGACUAAGAAGCACCGGCUAAAUACGUGCCAGUAGCCGCGGUAAUCUGAGCGGGCUGGCAAGGC